This 253-nucleotide ribosomal RNA is filed under the name uncultured bacterium. RNAcentral describes it as "partial 16S ribosomal RNA". It matches the Rfam family "Bacterial small subunit ribosomal RNA", at positions 524 to 776 of the family's 1533-position model. The record is from RNAcentral.
UACGUAGGCAGCAAGCGUUGUUCGGAGUUACUGGGCGUAAAGGGUGCGUAGGUGGCUCUAUAAGUAUGGUGUGAAAUCUCCCGGCUUAACUGGGAGGGUGCGCCGUAGACUGUGGGGCUAGAGUGCGUGAGGGGUGACCGGAACGAGUGGUGUAGCGGUGAAAUGCGUAGAUAUCACUCGGAAGGCCAACGGCGAAGGCAGGUCACUGGUGCGCAACUGACGCUGAGGCACGAAAGCGUGGGGAGCAAACAGG